Molecule: ribosomal RNA, 301 nt
Filed under: uncultured bacterium
Lineage: Bacteria
Description: partial 16S ribosomal RNA
Rfam family: Bacterial small subunit ribosomal RNA
Source: RNAcentral
AGCAGCCACGGUAAUACGAAGGGUGCAAGCGUUAAUCGGAAUUACUGGGCGUAAAGCGUGCGUAGGCGGUGAGUUAAGUCUGCUGUGAAAUCCCCGGGCUCAACCUGGGAAUGGCAGUGGAUACUGGCUCGCUAGAGUGUGUCAGAGGAUGGUGGAAUUCCCGGUGUAGCGGUGAAAUGCGUAGAGAUCGGGAGGAACAUCAGUGGCGAAGGCGGCCAUCUGGGACAACACUGUCGCUGAGGCACGAAAGCGUGGGGAGCAAACAGGAUUAGAUACCCCAGUAGUCCCUGUCUCUUAUACU